This 83-nucleotide transfer RNA is filed under the name Planctomycetia bacterium. RNAcentral's name for it is "tRNA-Leu". It matches the Rfam family "tRNA". Rfam says of the family: Transfer RNA (tRNA) molecules are approximately 80 nucleotides in length. RNAcentral also lists the same sequence under 1 other name. The record is from RNAcentral. Lineage: Bacteria; Pseudomonadati; Planctomycetota; Planctomycetia.
GCCGAAGUGGCGGAAUGGCAGACGCGACGGAUUCAAAAUCCGUUACUCGCAAGAGUGUGUGGGUUCAAGUCCCUCCUUCGGCA